This is a long non-coding RNA of Lolium perenne, 4532 nucleotides long. RefSeq lists it as uncharacterized. The record is from RefSeq and is a predicted model, not a curated record. Lineage: Eukaryota; Viridiplantae; Streptophyta; Magnoliopsida; Poales; Poaceae.
GGAGCCGCAGCUGCAGCCAGCUGUUCCUCGUUCUUGCGCUGCAGAGAAAUACUCAAAUUAGACACAUGAUCAUGCUUCAGUUGUGUUGGUACGUAGCAUCUGCAGUCUGAACCGGCAUAUGCACAUAGGAUAUCACACGAGGAUACGAGGUUUCUGUAGGACAACAAGGUGGUGACGUUACUACCUUCUGUUUCAGCUUAGCGAGCUGCUCUUCAAAGAGCCGUGCCUGGAAUGCAAGAUAAGCAAGUACUGUUACAUUGUCCUCUCAGCCUCUGUUCAUAUGUAGAUUCAUUGUUGGCUAGAAUCGAAUGUAGAGUGGCGAAUAGCUAACCUUUCUAGCUCUGAUGCUAACGAGGCUUUUCUCAAUCUUGACCUCUAAGCUUUGCAGUUCUUCAAUAGCGCAUUCUUCCAAAUUACAACCCAGAAGUUUCCUGCAUCUCAACAGCACUGGAUGGUCACACACUGAGUUUUUUGCUAGUACACGCUGCUACCGGUCUCCUGAAAACCGAAAUGGUUACCUUUUGUAAGCAUCAAGUGCUUCAAGCUUCUUUGACAAACCCUCAGCAUCAGCUUUUAUUUUCUGCGACAGAGACCAUGUAACUCUUGAAAUUGUCAAAUUAAAAACAAUCGCUAGGUGUACCAUCAAUCAGGUAUGUUUAUAUCCAGAGUCCUCAUGCUAAGCAUGGGACUGAAACGUAGUUCCAUAGUACGUUUGGAAUAAUUUAAAUUCAAAAUAUGUGAUAAUUCCUCGGUCAUGAAAUAUUAUUCAGAACUUGUGAUUAUUCUGAAAAGUUCAGCUAUGCUAACUCAACGCCAGUGCUUCAGUCCAUGGUGGUUUUAGCAUUUCAGUACAAGCAGCAUCUAUUCAGAGUAUUUGGAAAUGGCAGCAAACCAACUUGAGCAUUGGAGGCAUAUAUAGGUUACUAAAUACCAAGUUGCUGACUAUCUUAAACUUUCAGUGAAGAGAAAAGCUUGUUACAAAACAAGAUAAGUAUUUCCAUACUUAAUUUUUGUAACCAAAUGUGACAAAAUUAGUAUGCCAAUAAGCAAAGACCUAUAUACCUCUAUAUCUUGCUGUACCGUCUGGCUUCUGAUGUUGUCCUUUGUGCUUGUUUUAUAGCGUUCAAUUGUUCUCUGCAUGCUGAUUCCAAAUACAAAUGUGAAGACAUGUCAGAAUAAUAUAACACAGCUCGAUCCAUUGGAGAAAAAUGUAGCUAUAUUUCAUCCAGUAGUCCAAAAUAUUUGGUGGGUCCUUCCUAUGGUUUCAUGAAUAUAGAUAGAAUUUGUUAUGAACUAGAAAAAACGUACACUAAUUACAAAAAAAAAAACAAAUGUUGAACAUCAGCUAUACAUCAUUUUAUAGCUCCAAUCAAGAGCUCAGCAUCAAUGUUAGGCAUAAUAUAUCUAGGACUUGUGCAUAGGUGUAUACUUUGAAAAACACUUACGGAGUGCCAUGUAUUGACACAAAGCUGUGGGGAUGAGUAAUUAAACGUCUGAUUGGUCGACCUUUUCCUUAAGAGAGUAUUGAAAACAAUGUUAGUGUAUUUGUUUUGUCCAACUGACGGAUAUGCUACAGUGUAGUUUUUCAACAGCAUGAGAAAAAUCAAGUGUGAUUCUAGUCUGGUAGACAGUAGAUUUUUGGGCUACUCGCUUCUGAACUCUAGAAUAAUUACUUAGCCCCAUUGUAUGUACUUCUAUCAACCAGUGUGAUGACAGAGCACAAUUUCAUGAGCGGAUGGUUUUGAUUGUUAGUGACAUAAUAUCAAUGGUAAUUUAAUUUUAAAAAACAAGAAUAACCUACUCAGUUCAGUUUGUAAUGCAGAAAAUUCACCAGCUAGUGACAUAGCUAGCUCAGUUCAGUAGUAUUGAGAACUGAGUUCCAGCUCGGUGGCAAGGCAAGCGAGUGCGCAGCCAGCCCACCCGGGUUCUAAUCCCCAUCUCGCGGUAAUUUCGCGGGAGGGGCGAACUUUAAUCGGGUUAUCAUCCUAGCGUCCAUCCGCGGGGAGAGUCUCAUUUCUUCCUAACAACGUAUAGCCAAGGGAGGGAUCAUUCCCCCGUUGGUCAACGUUUUAGGCUUUUGCGUUUUCGCGAAAAAAGUUCAGUAGUAUUACUAAAGCACGGCCAUUCUUACAAACUAAAAGCACUACAACAUAAUUAGGUCAUUGCAAGAAAUGAAAAGAAAAUGUUGGGCACAGUAGUGGUUUUCUCAGUGUGUCUACACUUAAAGUUGUAGGUUCCAGAAAUUUAAAAUAAGAAAAUAUUUAAAAAUGAAAAUUUUGACUUAACAAAAUACAGAAUUUUUGUUUGAUUAUAUGUGUUUUUAAGAGUCAGAAACUAGAUUGCGGCAUUUUUAAUGACCCCACACAUCAUACAAUAGUAAUAAUAUGAAAAAUGCAUUGGAAGGUCCAAUGUGAUUUUCUGUCCAAUAGUAUUCAUGUAUAGUACGAGAUAUACCAAAAGUGUGUAAGUAACAAGGCGCGAUGAAACAUGCAAGACAAAUGAAAAGAAAUUUGUUUAAGGCAAAACGAUUUCAAAGAAACACAAAAAGAUCAUCAUGGCCCUUGCACAAGUAUUCUCAAACCUUCUAUGCGCUUGAAUCAUAUUAAUCAAAACAUCUCAUGUGAUUGUCACGAGUAGGGGUAAUCCACCAAGAGGUGAACCAUAUUCUAGAAGCAUUGGCCGCAAAGGAGGCACACAGUGGGAUAGGUUGAGCACAUUUAGAACGAAACUGACCCGAGAAGCAGUUUUUUCGUUGGAGUCCGGUUCUUGUUUUUCAUGUUUCCCCCAUUGACACCCCCCCCCCCCCUCCACCACAAUAUCUCUAGACCUAGUUGGCACCAAGAGUGUGCCAGUGACCAAGCAAAUCAUCGAACACUCAGAGUAAGAUUCUUGGUCUUGUUCUUCUACAUCAGUCUCUUUGUACUAUAUAUAUAGCUCAAUGGUCAUGGGUAAAAAUGUAUUGCGUGAAGCACAUUCGUCAGAUAUUUGGUCUUGAUAUUGAUUAAACCGAAGUUUCUAGAAACCUAAAGAUUGAACAAAAAAUGUCAACCCCUGUACUAGGAUGCCGAAGCCCUCUCUCCCCGCCAUUUGUACUAAAUUUGCUUAGUUGAGAUUUUGACCAACGUCCUUAUACAAUUUGGAGAAUAGGGAGAACUCAUAUUUCUCAUCAAUCUCAGCAUCCUUAUCCCAUAAAAUCAUGGGUACUGGAUAAAUAUCUUGCUGCACCAUCUAGCUUAUGCCUUAUAUCUUUUGAUGGGUAUUCCCCAAGAAUAAAACUUCCUUUGAUCCGAAAUGUAGUUCUUUUUUUGCCUAAUAAUAUGAUAACAGACAGGGAUUUCUACACUCUCAAUCCACUUUCUCAUGUUAUUCUAGUAGAGUGUAUCAUAAAUUUCUAGAGGGUGAGUCAAUGGUGACCCCAAGAAAUGAGAAAUGUGUUGUCUACCAUGAAUUUUAGGUUUUAGGGGUGGAGUGUAUGUGCUAACUCUAGGUUGGUUGUUUUCUAGAGGGUGUUCUAUUUACUCUACUACCUUUGGAUGCACAUUUUUGGGUACUUCCAAACACUCCAUCUUUUCUUUGAACGAAAGAUUGUUGUUUUGAUUUGGAGCCACCAAGUGUUUAAGCAUAGUACUUGUUGGGGUUAUGGCAACUAGUUUUUUUUCAUGACCGUGUAGUCAAUCUACCAAGUUUUCGUUGCAAACCUCAAUAACCAAAGAUCAUGAUUCCAAAUUCUACCGCAUCAUGCACCCACGAGGAUUUGCAAAAACAGUUGACUAGUGACUCUUUCCAAGGGUAUUACAUGUCACUCCGCCAUAACAUGUGUACUUGUUAACCUAUAGUGAAUAAUAGCAGGAGUAGGUUUCCGCCACUAUCGUGGAACCUGAACUUGGGUAACUCAUGUGAUCACCAUCCCGGACAUACACCCUCCUUACGCCCUAAUUCUCCCCUUGACGUGAGCUACCACCCAUGGGUGUCGUGUUGACAAUUCCACAACAGUUGGCACCCACCAUGGGGCAAAAGGCGUUUGGAGUCGUCUUCAACUUGAUCAACAAUGAAUCGCGAAAAAAUCAUCCCGAGACUGGGAAACUUGGGACUCGACAUCAGCACUAACACUGUGCAGUUGGUCAUAGUUUAGGAUAUUUUCAGUGGUCUUCCAUGGCGGCUUCACCCCUGUCCUGAAGGUAUUGUGGAUUCUCGAGGCCUUUCAAAUAGGCAAGACCUCUUGGUUUGGUUCGCUGUUAGUACUUCCAAGAAAGUACCUACCCCGCUUUGAUUGUUUAAAUUUUGAACCUGUUAGGUACCACAAAAUCUUAUAGGAAUCUAAAAACACAUGUCUUCCUCAUGUACAAUUGAAUUUACAAUUGCCUACAUAUAGGUGCUCUUGCUCCUUGGGAGGCAAAGAAAAAUCAUCUAAAUAUUUACUUGAGAUCUUUGGUGCUUUGAGUGAUUCCUUUGGCACUGCAAGGGAUCAAGAUCCAACUCAAGACCAUGUGUUGUUAACUUUUAAAGGGUGUGUGUGCUUGGAAGCGUUUCUG